RNAcentral lists this ribosomal RNA (254 nucleotides) under uncultured bacterium. RNAcentral's name for it is "partial 16S ribosomal RNA". It matches the Rfam family "Bacterial small subunit ribosomal RNA", at positions 524 to 776 of the family's 1533-position model. The record is from RNAcentral.
CACGUAGGGUGCGAGCGUUGUCCGGAAUUAUUGGGCGUAAAGAGCUCGUAGGCGGUGUGUCGCGUCGGCCGUGAAAACCUGCAGCUUAACUGUGGGCUUGCGGUCGAUACGGGCAUCACUGGAGUUCGGCAGGGGAGACUGGAAUUCCUGGUGUAGCGGUGAAAUGCGCAGAUAUCAGGAGGAACACCGGUGGCGAAGGCGGUUCUCUGGGCAACAACUGACGCUGAGGAGCGAAAGCGUGGGGAGCGAACAGG